This 497-nucleotide ribosomal RNA is filed under the name uncultured bacterium. RNAcentral's name for it is "partial 16S ribosomal RNA". It matches the Rfam family "Bacterial small subunit ribosomal RNA", at positions 28 to 507 of the family's 1533-position model. The record is from RNAcentral.
GAUGAACGCUGGCGGCGUGCCUAAUACAUGCAAGUCGAGCGAACAGACGAGGAGCUUGCUCCUCUGACGUUAGCGGCGGACGGGUGAGUAACACGUGGAUAACCUACCUAUAAGACUGGGAUAACUUCGGGAAACCGGAGCUAAUACCGGAUAAUAUAUUGAACCGCAUGGUUCAAUAGUGAAAGACGGUUUUGCCGUCACUUAUAGAUGGAUCCGCGCCGGAUUAGCUAGUUGGUAAGGUAACGGCUUACCAAGGCAACGAUGCGUAGCCGACCUGAGAGGGUGAUCGGCCACACUGGAACUGAGACACGGUCCAGACUCCUACGGGAGGCAGCAGUAGGGAAUCUUCCACAAUGGGCGAAAGCCUGACGGAGCAACGCCGCGUGAGUGAUGAAGGUCUUCGGAUCGUAAAGCUCUGUUAUUAGGGAAGAACAAAUGUGUAAGUAACUAUGCACGUCUUGACGGUACCUAAUCAGAAAGCCACGGCUAACUACGUG